This is a long non-coding RNA of Pungitius pungitius (ninespine stickleback), 754 nucleotides long. RefSeq lists it as uncharacterized. The record is from RefSeq and is a predicted model, not a curated record. NCBI's taxonomy places the organism in Eukaryota, Metazoa, Chordata, Actinopteri, Perciformes, Gasterosteidae. The transcript has 3 exons.
GAGGGAGAGGGAGGGAGAGAGGAAGCGUGCACCGAGGAGGCUUCGCAGCGGAGACCGGCUUCAGAAAUAGAAGAGUCGGCUUUUUAUUUCUAAAGCCCGGUAGGGUGAAGGAGCGGCCCGUUGGAUGAGCGCAGAGAGUUGCUGCUGAGAAAGGAAACGCGAAUCCUCACCUGUUUCAGUCCGACAGCCACAGCGCCGAUGUGUCCCACCGAGCCGCGCUGACACAAACCAGUCAGAUGUCUGCUGGGGACAAGGCCGGAAUCCAUUCACAGACAAGCCGGCAUAAAAGGAGGUUUGAGGCCCCCUCAUCGACACUAUGUUCUUCUCAUGAACCCUGGUGUUGUUUAUGCCACUUAAACACUCCCUCAAUGGUUCAACCAUGUGAUCACAUUUAGCCAUUUCAAGUGUUUAUGAACUUCACUGUGGAACUUUUAUAUUAUUUAUGCUUAUUUUGACGUCCCUGUGGGCAAAAGUGGUACUGCUCCCAGACCACACAUCCCUUUGGGAAACUUCUCCUUUUUUUUUUUUAAUGCAACAGGGUUGUUUUAUUUUGCCACAAUCUGAACAAGUUGACACCUUAGAUAAGCUUUAAAAAAACAUAUGGAAAUAGCUAAUCUUUUGGAUUAUGUUUAACUUUACUUUUUUUUUUUUACAAUGAAAGUGUUACUGUUAUCAUAAUCCCCACAGUAAAGUUAAAAAGUCUACCCCAGGUUGGGAAUAACUGGCCUAAAUGACUAAAAUAAAACUCAGCAAA